Periophthalmus magnuspinnatus is the source of this 368-nucleotide long non-coding RNA. RefSeq lists it as uncharacterized. The record is from RefSeq and is a predicted model, not a curated record. Lineage: Eukaryota; Metazoa; Chordata; Actinopteri; Gobiiformes; Gobiidae. The transcript is spliced from 6 exons.
GGGGAGCCUGGGGAAAAGGGCGACACCGGUUCAGCUGGAAAUACAGGAGCUCAGGGGCGAGCAGGGCCUUGACGGGGAGAGCGGAUCAAAAGGACCAGAUGGACUAAAAGGUGAAAAUGGCCUUUCUGGAUCAGAGGGUGAAAAAGGAGAUCCAGGUGAAACUGGACUCAAAGGAAAAGAGGGAACCCCGGGGCCUCUGGGAUUGGUCGGUGUGAGGGGUCAGGAGGGGAAACCUGGCACAAUCGGAGAGAAAGGAAAACCAGGACUGAAGGGGCGCCAGGGUUACCAAGGUCAUCUGGGGGAGGGUGGACAGCCCGGAGAGCAGGGGCAAAGGGGGCUCCUGGGGCUGAAGGGGAGCAGAGGAACCA